UGAAUACGAGACGCUAAGGCGUCGAAGUAGUGUAUGUCAUACUUCCAAGAAAAGCUUGCACUGUCAUAGAUAAAAAACGCCUGUACCAUAACCGACACAGGUGGGUAGGUAGAGUAUACUAAGGGGCGCGAGAUAACUCUCUCUAAGGAACUCGGCAAAAUAACUCCGUAACUUCGGGAGAAGGAGUGCCUUAUUCGUAAGGUUGCAAUAACAAGAUCCAAGCAACUGUUUAUCAAAAACACAGGUCUCCGCUAAGUCGUAAGACGAUGUAUGGGGGCUGACGCCUGCCCAGUGCCAGAAGGUUAAAGAAGUUGGUUAGCAAUUGCGAAGCUGAUAACUGAAGCCCUGGUGAACGGCGGCCGUAACCAUAACGGUCCUAAGGUAGCGAAAUUCCUUGUCGGGUAAGUUCCGACCCGCACGAAAGGCGUAAUGAUUUGGAUACUGUCUCGGAGAGGGGCUCGGUGAAAUAGACUUGUCUGUGAAGAUGCGGACUACCUGCACCAGGACAGAAAGACCCUAUGAAGCUUUACUGUAACUUGAAAUUGAAAUUGGACUUUAUUCGCGCAGUAUAGGUGGGAGGCGUUGAUUAUAAUCUUGUGGGAUUAUUGGAGCCAUCAGUGAGAUACCACUCUUGUAAUGUUAGAUUUCUAACUUUGAAUCAUUAUCUGGUCAAAGAACAGUUUCAGGCGGGCAGUUUGACUGGGGCGGUCGCCUCCUAAACGGUAACGGAGGCGUACAAAGGUUUCCUCUGAACGGUUAGAAAUCGUAUCUAGAGUGUAAAGGCAUAAGGAAGCUUGACUGUGAGACCUACAAGUCGAGCAGGGACGAAAGUCGGUCUUAGUGAUCUGACGGUACUGAGUGGAAAGGCCGUCACUCAACGGAUAAAAGUUAUUCUAAGGAUAACAGGCUGAUCUCCCCCAAGAGUUCACAUCGACGGGGAGGUUUGGCACCUCGAUGUCGGCUCAUCGCAUCCUGGGGCGGUAGUACGUCCCAAGGGUUGGGCUGUUCGCCCAUGAAAGCGGUACGCGAGCUGGGUUCAGAACGUCGUGAGACAGUUCGGUCCAUAUCCGGUGUAGGCGUUAGAAUAUUGAGAGGAGCCUUCUUUAGUACGAGAGGACCGAGAAGGACAUACCUCUGGUGUACCAGUUAUCGUGCCAACGGUAAACGCUGGGUAGCUAUGUAUGGAGUGGAUGACCGCUGAAAGCAUCUGAGUGGGAAGCCCACCUCAAGAUAAG
This 1235-nucleotide ribosomal RNA is filed under the name metagenome. RNAcentral's name for it is "bacterial LSU rRNA". It matches the Rfam family "Bacterial large subunit ribosomal RNA", at positions 1564 to 2808 of the family's 2925-position model. The record is from RNAcentral.